Molecule: ribosomal RNA, 507 nt
Filed under: uncultured bacterium
Lineage: Bacteria
Description: bacterial SSU rRNA
Rfam family: Bacterial small subunit ribosomal RNA
Source: RNAcentral
GACGAACGCUGGCGGCGUGGAUUAGGCAUGCAAGUCGGACGGUAGGGCUUUAUCGUAAGAUAGAGUUUGAGAGUGGCGAACGGGUGAGUAACACGUAGGAAUCUACCCUUAAGACGGGGACAACCCAGGGAAACUUGGGCUAAUACCGGAUGAGAGUGCGAGAGAUUGCAUUUAAAAGGAUGGCGAAAGUUGUCGCUUAGGGAUGAGCCUGCGGUCUAUUAGUUAGUUGGUGAGGUAAGAGCUCACCAAGGCGAUGAUAGAUAGGCGGCCUUAACGGGUGGUCGCCCACACUGGUACUGAGACACGGACCAGACUCCUACGGGAGGCAGCAGUGAGGAAUAUUGGUCAAUGGGCGCAAGCCUGAACCAGCCAUCCCGCGUGCAGGAAGACGGCCCUAUGGGUUGUAAACUGCUUUUCCAGGGAGAGAAACUUACGCACGUGUUGCGUGACUGACGGUACCCUGGGAAUAAGCAUCGGCUAACUCCGUGCCAGCAGCCGCGGUAAAGU